UGUAGCUCAGCGGUACAGCAUCUGCCUGGAAAGCACAAGUCCCUGAGUUCAAUUCCCAGUA
Molecule: transfer RNA, 61 nt
Filed under: Heterocephalus glaber (naked mole-rat)
Lineage: Eukaryota; Metazoa; Chordata; Mammalia; Rodentia; Bathyergidae
Rfam family: tRNA
About the family: Transfer RNA (tRNA) molecules are approximately 80 nucleotides in length. Their secondary structure includes four short double-helical elements and three loops (D, anti-codon, and T loops).
Source: Rfam by way of RNAcentral